UGGGGAAUCUUGCACAAUGGGGGAAACCCUGAUGCAGCGACGCCGCGUGAGCGAUGAAGCCCUUCGGGGUGUAAAGCUCUUUCGGCAGGAACGAUAAUGACGGUACCUGCAGAAGAAGCUGCGGCUAACUACGUGCCAGCAGCCGCGGUAAUACGUAGGCAGCGAGCGUUGUUCGGAGUUACUGGGCGUAAAGAGUGCGUAGGUGGUUCUCUAAGUUCGGUGUGAAAUCUCCCGGCUCAACUGGGAGGGUGCGCCGAAAACUGGAGGGCUGGAGUGCGGGAGAGGAGAGCGGAAUUCCUGGUGUAGCGGUGAAAUGCGUAGAUAUCAGGAGGAACACCUGUGGUGCAGACGGCUCUCUGGACCGCUACUGACACUGAGGCACGAAAGCGUGGGGAGCAAACAGGAUUAGAUACCCUGGUAGUCCACGCCCUAAACGAUGCAUACUUGGUGUGGGUCAUUCAGUUGAUCCGUGCCGGAGCUAACGCGUUAAGUAUGCCGCCUGGGGAGUACGGUCGCAAGGCUGAAACUUAAAUGAAUUGACGGGGUCAUAGCUGUUUCCUG
RNAcentral lists this ribosomal RNA (561 nucleotides) under uncultured bacterium. RNAcentral's name for it is "partial 16S ribosomal RNA". It matches the Rfam family "Bacterial small subunit ribosomal RNA", at positions 355 to 1376 of the family's 1533-position model. The record is from RNAcentral.